Cannabis sativa is the source of this 492-nucleotide long non-coding RNA. RefSeq lists it as uncharacterized. The record is from RefSeq and is a predicted model, not a curated record. The transcript is spliced from 2 exons. NCBI's taxonomy places the organism in Eukaryota, Viridiplantae, Streptophyta, Magnoliopsida, Rosales, Cannabaceae.
AGCUUAAAUGGAUUGAUUGGUACUACCUAUAUCAACAAGGUGCAUCUUGUUUUUCGGUAGCCCAUCUCGAAAGAACUCCACAGUUAAGCGUGCUUGGCCUGGAGCAAUUUCAAGGAUGGGUGACCUCCUGGGAAGUUUGCCCAGGAAGCGUGUGAGUGAGGACAAAGCACGCUGGAAACACUCGUGUUGGUCUGUAGGGUCAGUCAUCAGUCCAUGAAGCAGCCAAAGUGACGUACUCGUGUAUAAGAGCCAUUCAUUCCGUGGGUGUAAGGACCCAAUGGAGGCUUGAAGCGGGGACGUUACAAAUGUAUUGUGACAGUCAGUAGUCGCGUGAUCCGUAAGGGGAAACACCGGGUAAGCUGUGCAAUCCCACACUGCCUGGGGAAGGUCAAGUGGGAUGAUUCUGAGACUGUGUAGGUAUGGGACUAAACAGUUGAAGAGGGCUUAAAUGGAUUGAUUGGUACUACCUAUAUCAACAAGGUGCAUCUUAUU